AGCAACAUGUAGCUCAGUGUUCAGCGAAUUCUUUUGGACUAUUUAAUCGGGCCUCUUAGUCUUCUUCCAUGAGGCUUUUCAAAAACCAUCAGCUAUUCGAGGCGACGUGAGUCUAUUCCGCC
Bombyx mori (domestic silkworm) is the source of this 122-nucleotide non-coding RNA. The record is from RefSeq and is marked provisional. Lineage: Eukaryota; Metazoa; Arthropoda; Insecta; Lepidoptera; Bombycidae.